UAUAUAUAUAUAUAUAUAUAUAUUACGUGCAUCGGUAACAAUGAGUUAUAAUGUUUUUUCAAAGUAUAACUCAUGGGCUUGGUUUAUCUUAGGAUUGCAUUUUUCAUCUUGCCAUGGCAUAAUAAGUUACUGUGGAGAUUGGUGGCUCAAAAAAGGAGUUGAAGAAUUCUGAAGGUCUUUUAUCGACUGCAGUAAACUCUUGUGAGUGGAUUAUUUAAAUACUGCAUAGAGCAGAUUCAACUUAAAGAAGCUCACAUAUGAAGAAAGGAAGAACCAGUUAAUUGAAGGAUUGACUAAAUUUGGGCAGUGGUAUAAAUUUUCAAAGGAACAUGGAUACAACCUUUUUUCUUUGGGGACAUGUUUACAACCUGUCUUUAUCAUAGUGUUGGGAAUGAGGAGUGUACUUGAUUAGAUAAUGCAGAUGCCGUAUAGAGAAACCUGGCUUUCCUUGUGUCCAUGCAACUGCAGCAUGUAAGCAUCAACAUAUUUCUCAAGGAGAGAAGCGUCAUCAAUAUAGAUGCGGGAGGUGCAAAUAGAUUGGUCACAGCAGCCGAUCAUGCUCAACCACCAUACCUUUUGAUCGCACUGCCAACCAACAACACCAUUCAACUGAAGGACCAUAAAUAGCUCUAUGCUAUAUUAAGACAAUGGGGGCAUGUUAUGUGGUAUGCGUGUGUUAUGCAACGUAGUAAGGAAUGCAAUUAGUAGCUCAACCGCGUAACGUGUGUUUUGGCAUAAUAGAUGUUGGUUUUAUGUGUUGUUUUGUUGGAAAAGUCAUCUGUCAUAUUGUAUUGAUAGAAUAUCAAUAACCCUAAACAGAAAAAACUCCAAAAAUUUGGAAAAAGUUCUCAA
Molecule: long non-coding RNA, 852 nt
Organism: Ziziphus jujuba (common jujube)
Lineage: Eukaryota; Viridiplantae; Streptophyta; Magnoliopsida; Rosales; Rhamnaceae
Exons: 5
Source: RefSeq, a predicted model, not a curated record